This 221-nucleotide ribosomal RNA is filed under the name uncultured bacterium. RNAcentral's name for it is "partial 16S ribosomal RNA". It matches the Rfam family "Bacterial small subunit ribosomal RNA", at positions 118 to 340 of the family's 1533-position model. The record is from RNAcentral.
UGAGCAAUCUGCCCUUCUCAUCGGAAUAAGCGUUGGAAACGACGUCUAAUGCCGAAUACGACCUCCUUUCGCAUGAUCGGAGGUGGAAAGCUCCGGCGGAGAAGGAUGAGCUCGCGGCCUAUCAGCUAGUUGGUGAGGUCAUGGCUCACCAAGGCGACGACGGGUAGCUGGUCCGAGAGGAUGACCAGCCACAUUGGGACUGAGACACGGCCCAGACUCCG